This 305-nucleotide ribosomal RNA is filed under the name uncultured bacterium. Its description in RNAcentral is "bacterial SSU rRNA". It matches the Rfam family "Bacterial small subunit ribosomal RNA", at positions 333 to 636 of the family's 1533-position model. The record is from RNAcentral.
GUUGUCCUACGGGACGCAGCAGUGAGGAAUAUUGGUCAAUGGCCGAGAGGCUGAACCAGCCAAGUCGCGUGAGGGAAGAAUGUCCUAAGGAUUGUAAACCUCUUUUGUCGGGGAGCAAAAAGGCUCUGCGGAGUCGUAUUGAGAGUACCCGAAGAAAAAGCAUCGGCUAACUCCGUGCCAGCAGCCGCGGUAAUACGGAGGAUGCGAGCGUUAUCCGGAUUUAUUGGGUUUAAAGGGUGCGUAGGCGGGCUGUUAAGUCAGCGGUAAAAGCCCGGGGCUCAACCCCGGCGAGCCGUUGAAACUGG